Molecule: long non-coding RNA, 861 nt
Organism: Nematostella vectensis (starlet sea anemone)
Lineage: Eukaryota; Metazoa; Cnidaria; Anthozoa; Actiniaria; Edwardsiidae
Exons: 2
Source: RefSeq, a predicted model, not a curated record
AACUGACAAUCGCCAUGAAAAUGUUUACUUCGUAAAUACUUACUUACAAGUUCUAUAAAUUCAGGCGUAUAUUCCUCACGGUGAAACCAACCAAGGACUACCCGAGGGUCAUGAUUGAUGCUAAAGGCUGGAAGGCAUAAGAAUAGGCAAAUGUAGCUGGGAUUUUUCACUUUGAUACAGCAGUAUAAGUGUAAUAGGGUUUUUAGUGCAAGAUGCUUUGAGUAAACAAGCGGGAAAGGCGGUAAGCGCUCAGUGAAAAAUUUCCUGUAGAAAGAGAAGAAACAACUCAAACUCUAAAAUACUCUACAAUGUUUAGGCAUUUUGUAAUUUGUGGCGCAUGGCGCAAUAAAUAAUAACAGGAUAAUUUUAUUACCAAGACCUCGUUAGAAGUGAACAUGGGAACUUUCUUGAAAUGCGCGACGGAAUUUUCCAGUUCAACAUUCUAUACUUCACCUUUUGAGUGAGUAUGCCUUACCUUCCGAACGCAAUAAAGUUGCCUCUGUGUAUAUGUGAAGUGAGACAAAAUAACACCAGCAAGUUUAGCAGAAUGAACCCAAGAAUGAACCCAAGUCGGGCUGAUCUAUUUUGCGAGCGUGAAUAUUUGAUCUUACCAUGUGUACAAGGGACUAGUAUACUAACCAAUCAGCAGAACACUUUGUCUGUCAUUCAAAUUACAAUCACCAAAUCACAGUUCACUGCUGAGUCAAUCGUACAAAUAAUAACCGCAUAUAAAACAAUAGUCUUUAAUUUGCGUAGUCAGCACGUGAAAAUGCGCGUGACAAAUUUCAGCAUCACUUUUAACUCACUAUAAAUUACAGCGAUUCGCAUAGUUUCAAGGCCCACUACCAAACAUUUUAAAAA